GGCGGUGUAGCUCAGUGGCAAGAGCACUCGGCUCAUACCCGGGGUGUCCUGAGUUCAAAUCUCAGCACCGCCACCA
Molecule: transfer RNA, 76 nt
Filed under: bacterium
Lineage: Bacteria
Description: tRNA-Met
Rfam family: tRNA
About the family: Transfer RNA (tRNA) molecules are approximately 80 nucleotides in length. Their secondary structure includes four short double-helical elements and three loops (D, anti-codon, and T loops).
Source: RNAcentral